Molecule: transfer RNA, 70 nt
Filed under: Ameiurus melas (black bullhead)
Lineage: Eukaryota; Metazoa; Chordata; Actinopteri; Siluriformes; Ictaluridae
Description: tRNA-Pro
Source: RNAcentral
GGCUCCGUUGGUCUAGGGGUAUGAUUCGCCUUGGGUGUGAGAGGUCCCGGGUUCAAAUCCGGAUGAGCCC